Heterocephalus glaber (naked mole-rat) is the source of this 1434-nucleotide long non-coding RNA. The record is from Ensembl. NCBI's taxonomy places the organism in Eukaryota, Metazoa, Chordata, Mammalia, Rodentia, Bathyergidae.
GCAGCUUCCUUCUGGGAACUCAGUGUAAAUCCCAGACAUCCAGUCACCCGUGUGGGUCACCGGACACCACGCACUGUGAGUUCACUGUCUCUAUGUCUCUCUUCCCUACUGGAUCCCAACUGGACAAUGAUUUGAUUUUCUGCUUUUUCCAACUGUGCAGCAAUAAGUACAUAUUUGUGCUAAAGAAACAUUAAGCUGGGCACGAGCAGAGCAGCCAGCUUACUGUGACAUCACACAGAUAGCAGUGAGCUAACCGGGAGGCUAGGGGAAGUGGCGCAUUUUUGAGACUAAAAUCCCAAAUCUAAAGCUGGAAGGGAUGAAGUGGGGCCAGGAAGAGGUUCCCCUGCAUCCCAUGGGAAUCUUUCCCAGCAGGCUGUCCCAGCAAGGUCCAAGGAGCAGCGUGGACACAAUGCCCAGUGUGCAGGGCUCCCACCUCUUGGUGCCCACAGGAGGCCCCCAGCCCAGCUGGCGGACAGGACUCCUUCCCCUCCUCCAGUCUAGGGCACACAGCCCUGCCCGGAGUUCCAUGCCAUCUUCCCUUUGCCUGUGUUUUGUGCGAAGGAGCAUUCAAAUGUUGGACAAAACGGCUUUAAUUCAACUUGAUCAUCUUCUGAAAAAGAAAAAAAAAUUAAAGGAAGAAAAAUAAAGGAGGAAGAACAAAAGUUGGGAGAGGCCAGACUAAAUGGAUAUGAUCUGAAUGCAUAUUUGUGUUACAACUAAUACAACCAGCAGCAGAGAGGGACCAAGAUCAAAUAAAUGGUAAAACCUGACAAAGAGAAGAAUAGAUGGUAUGUGGAGCCAUCUGUUUUGGAGGACACCCAAAUCUGUCUGAAUCUGUGAGGCCAAACUACCAGCUAUUCUAAGACGCCCCAUUCCAAGAGUGGCCUAAUGCGUAGCUACACAAUCAGUUUCUCUCACUAUCACUUUGGCUGCAACUUUUUUGUGCAAUUAAGUAAUUUAUUCCUUUCUUCAGCCUCCUGAUUCUAAUGAAUCCGAGCCACAAACAAGCCUCAGUUGCUCCUAUUCAAGGAGUCUGAUUACAUCUGGCAGUGAUUGCUGGAAAUCCUGAAGAGGAAACAGGGAAGGGAAGCAUAUUGUUUGGGGGGGUAAUAGGUGAAGACCUGCCUCUCUUGACCUAUAAUACAUUAGUGUCAGUGAACAUUUGGCAGCCUUCAGAUGAUUAGCAAUGAAGAUGAAUCAAGCAAAAAAGAGGUAGAAAUCUGCCUCAUCUGAAUCGCCAGAACUGCAUACAUUUGCAUGCUGAUUAGCUGUUCUUUUGUCUGUGUUCCUAAUUAUUAUGACACAUUAUGUCUUCAUCAUGCAAGAUUCUGAUCUGUCUUGUUCAAAAUGCAUGUAGAAAAAAGUGCUGUUUAUUGAUUCAACAUGUAACUUUUAUUUUUAUGUUUGCUUUAAUUAAAUACAUAUUUGAUUGCC